UACGAAGGGGGCUAGCGUUACUCGGAUUGACUGGGCGUAAAGGGCGCGUAGGCGGCUUGUACAGUCAGACGUGAAAUUCCUGGGCUCAACCUGGGGGCUGCGUUUGAUACGUGCGAGCUUGAGUUCGGAAGAGGGUCGUGGAAUUCCCAGUGUAGAGGUGAAAUUCGUAGAUAUUGGGAAGAACACCGGUGGCGAAGGCGGCGACCUGGUCCGAUACUGACGCUGAGGCGCGAAAGCGUGGGGAGCAAACAGG
RNAcentral lists this ribosomal RNA (253 nucleotides) under uncultured bacterium. Its description in RNAcentral is "partial 16S ribosomal RNA". It matches the Rfam family "Bacterial small subunit ribosomal RNA", at positions 524 to 776 of the family's 1533-position model. The record is from RNAcentral.